GUUUUAGAAGGUAAAGCGUUUUCAAUAUUUCUGGAGAGGAAGAAUGAAAAUGGGAACUAUUGUAUGUCAAUCUUGUAACACAGUAAUCGAUCAUUUUGAGGAUGAGAAGGUUAGUAUUCUUUACUCUAAUUGCUGUGAAUGCUGUAAUCAUAGUGAGAAAAAAGAGGAAUAACAAAUAUUCAAGAGAGUGUAUAGAAGUACACUCUCUUUU
RNAcentral lists this small RNA (211 nucleotides) under Heyndrickxia shackletonii. RNAcentral's name for it is "Bacillus shackletonii SR1 sRNA". It matches the Rfam family "SR1 sRNA". The record is from Rfam by way of RNAcentral. Lineage: Bacteria; Bacillati; Bacillota; Bacilli; Caryophanales; Bacillaceae.